This is a long non-coding RNA of Cyprinus carpio carpio, 6546 nucleotides long. The record is from Ensembl. Lineage: Eukaryota; Metazoa; Chordata; Actinopteri; Cypriniformes; Cyprinidae.
CUUGAGUAUUGUGGUGUAAUAUAAAAACAGAAGCAUGGUAUUUUUUUACACCCAAAAACAUGACUUGUAAAACUCUUUUUAGUUUUGCGAGGGCCAAAACGGCUAGAUCAGACGCAAUACUGCAUGAGAGCAAUGCCGGUUUGAUUUGUUGAUGUUUUAGGCUUUUAUUUAUUUAGUUUCAGUUAGCGGUGUGAAACUGUCUGGUGUUAUGCGUUCAGACUGAAUCGGGUCCUCAGGAAGCGUUUGAGCUGCGGCGUCUCUCCGAGAGCAGAAGCACACCAGGUGUCCCUGCAAUUAGCUGCUGUGAGAUUGAUGAGAUCUGGCUGGGCUGAUGGAAUCACUCUUAUUACAUUACAUCUGGACCGAUGUCCAUUUAUUUAUGAAGCACCGGCGGAGCAGGUGACUGCGCCGUGAUGGAAAUGAUGAGGUUUAUGGUAGCGUGGCCCUCGUUUGAACUGUGACAGGUAAACAAACUAAUUGAUUUCAGAGGCCCCACGGAAACAGGAGCUGCCACAUUUCCCACUUUUCUGUUUGCCGAACAGACGAAGCUGUCAUCCGCAGCGGCGAGAACACGUCAAACGCGGAGCCGGUAAUUUGUGCUGAUGAAUGACAAGCCGAGACUCUUGUUAGGUAGACGGCACGCUCAUUAGAAAACACAUUUUCAGAUGUCAGCGUGCCCCUGUCUUCCAUUUUCCUCCGUUCUUUGGAUGGAGGAAAGGACGAAAUAAACGCUGCUUGAAUAUUGCGAUGUCAUAGAAUCAAGCAGAAGGAACUCAAACCUCAAUUGACACGUCUGGUGUAUCCGAGCGUGUUUUGAACGCUGACAGCCAUCUGCGAGGGGUUCCUUUCACUCCUGCUAAUGAGCGCCAUGUCACCGCGGCCCGAUCUCCUCUGGACCAUCCCGGGAGACACGUUACAGCUGUCGGGGCCCCUCGGCUCGAUCCUGCGGCUCGCAGCGAAGAGCCUCAAACGACAUCGACUUCCGCCGCCAGAGAAAACACAAAGCCUCCGCUGACUCGCUUUCAUGAGCGUGUUUGUGCACAUGAAGGGUUUGUCAGAAUGAGUUGAAAUGUAAACUAGCGUGUGAACGCUGCUUCCUUACCUGCUGUGCUCUGUGGGCUUGUGCUGCAUUCCCAGGCUGCGUGUUGCUGACGGCGCUCCUGAUGCUGCUGCGUUCUUCUCCAGGAGGAUUAGACACUUCCUGAAUUACAUGUUGUCGGCCAUGAGAAGGGUUGUUUGCAUCUGAAUACUCUCAUGUUCAGAACGAGCAAUAAGAUGGGAGACUUUAUCAGAACUGCCCACUAAUUAACAGAAAUCACAAUAACUAUUGCAUAGAGGGAUCUCGUUAAAUCGAAAAGCAGAGUGAUCAGGGUGGCAAAGUGCUAAUUAAGCUUUGAAUUGGGGGAGGGGGGGCUGCAUCAACAGAGCACAGGGAUGAUCCUCCACUGUCUGUUUACAUCGCUGCAGUGCAUUCUGGGAAGUCACCCCACAACCUGGGGCAGGCGUACUGUUCUGCUGCUCCGGGGAAAAAAAAGUCUGAGAGAUUUGAGAAGAAUAAGAGAACAAUUGACUGAAACAAAAAGAAAUGUAUGAGAAGGUGGAGGGGCAGAGGAUCAGACAGACGGGAGGAACCAAGACUCAUUUACACAGAUGAACAUGUGGACGAAAGUCAGUUCGUCAGAUAUGGAGAACUGUCCCUUGUCUCGGCUCACAGAUCAGAGGCUUCUGUUCUGGCCUGCAUCAACUUUUCCUGCAUUAAAACUCUCGGGUCUGAAAGAACUUUCCAAAGCCUUCUGAUGGCAUUCAGCAUUCGCCACGGGGGAAAAUAACAAGCUGGUUGCUCACUUUGUGACCUGCUGGAUGAGGUGGUUCCAGGUGCACCUGUCGUAGGCCUACUCUUCCUCCAGGCUGGGAACAUUGCCCCCUUGUAGUGCCUGAACUUCGGCUGAGUCGGGUGGCAGCCUCCCAUUUGUUAAAUGCUACAUGAGGUGACUGGAGCUUCUCUGCCCGUCGCUGAGAGGACAGAUGGAGAGGGCACGGAAUGUUCUGGAGAGCCGAUGGUAAUUACAAGCCAGUAGCAGAGCCGAUGGCUUCCGCAGGGAACAGGCCUGAGCGGAAGCGCUCGAGUGGCGUGGGGGGUUGUUUGCCCUUUGGCUGCUCAGCAUGCUGUUGCUCUGCGCGGUGAGCUCGUGUUGGGACUGCCGUCACUGCACAUUUCUCCGCUCUUCAUGUCAGGUGAGGUGUGUGUGGGAACAUGGUGACAUUUGUGAGCUUUUGUCAUUCACAAGGAGUUUAACUCUUCAGAUGUGUUUCCAGUUCUAUUCGUUUCAGUAGAUAACUGAUGGAAGUCGCAGAUGUGUACAAAAGAAUUUUAUGGAUCAGUCCACCCAAAAAUAAAAUAAUUAUCAUCAUUUACUCAUGUCGUGAUCAAAAGUGAUAUUUACAGUGAGUUUUCUUCAUACAUCAUAUCUCUCAUUUUAUAUUCUCUGACACUUGUCUCCUUGGUAACCAAGUACACUAACUUUUAAAAACUUACAGUAUUUAAUGACAUUAUUGUUGUUUGUGUACACCAAUUGUAUAUAAAUCAUAAAUUUGUUGAUUAUUUUUAUUUCACUUUUUUUCCACUCAAUUCUGAUACUUAAUUCUGAUUUUUUUUUAUGGAUUUAUUAUAGUUUAAUAUAAGGCUACAACAAUAAAAUCACAUUUAAUCAUUUAAUAAUAUUUCUAUUCAUUGGAUUUUAUAAUUCAUAAUUGUAACCUUGUACUUCACAACUGCAACCUUUUUCACGUCAUAUAUUAAGCUUUCUCACAAUAACUAAUAUUUCUUAAAAUUGUGACUUUAUAUCUCAUAACUCUGUCUUUUUCCCAUAUUUUAAAAGUUUUAUAUUUCAUUUCUUUUAAUAAUAUAAAAUAGAUUUGAAAUGUAGCAACAAUGAAUGAGGGCAUACUAAAAUAUUUCAGUGCCUUGUAAACUUUUUAUCAUGAAUCCAUCAUUACUACCCAUGUAUACAUUUUUAUUUGUCAGUUUUAUUAUUUUACCCUUGUCCCUGACUUUCAGUCUUAACUAUAACAAGCCAUUAUAAAAAUAUGAAUUAAUAAAUAUUUAAAACUAUGAUGUGAACAAAGAGUUAAAUAAAAAUAAUCCAUUUUGAUGUUUAUUGUGUAAAAAUUACUUUAUGAUUUUUUUUUUACACAAAUUAUGACUGUACCUCAUUUGUGGUGCCCACAAACAAGUUAUUUUGUAGUUACUGUACUUGGUUACAAUAGAGACAAAAUUGUUUCAAUGUAACCUUUAUAAAAAGGGGGCAUUAAAUCUGUUAGUUUUAAUAAAACCAAACCUUAAGAUAUAAAAAGUGCAAGAAGUUGGAGAAACACCCUUAUAUCUUUUCACAUCUGAUCAGUCAUCUGCUCAACAUCUCAAGAGCGUCCUGUCUGCAGGUGAUUAAUUACUUUGUCAGCCGUCAGUCUCAGAAAAUGAGAGGUGAGGGGGAAAAAAGAAGAAAAGGGAGGAGUAUGAGGGAAAGUGAGCGGGCACAGCUUUGCAGGAUGCUGAAAUGUAGCUCUGCAAUCCCCAUAGGGCUCAUAUUAAUGAGGGUGCAGAGAAAGUUAACAACUCACAUUAAGCACUAAUGCAUUCUUUAAUUAAUUAAGUGCUCAUUUAUAAAUAUCCAACACAUCCUGUACACGUUCAAUCUGACUUAACAAUAACAUAUUAACGAUUCCUGUUCCAGGCAUAACAUAUUUAAAUGUCAUUGAUACUCCAACAGCUAGAUAAACAUACUCUGAAACUCUAUUAACAGCAUUAGGUGAUGUCUGGAGCAGCACGAAUUCCCCUGCAAUUCUCUCAUAAUUACAAAUUAAUUUCACAUUUAAUGUAUGAACACAGCCAUGGUGAAAUUUAGUUAAUUAGUUGAUUAAAAUGCAUAGUUCAAAGUAAAAACUGAGCAAUUUUGAGCCAUUUAGUGAAUCAUUUUGUAGUUAUUGGACAGCUUUAACACUCUUCCUUUUCAUUAUUUUAUAAGCAGGUUCUUAGACCUGGAUGAUGCAGUUAAGACUCAAAUGUGUGCAAUACUAUAGAAAAUGCCUUUAUUAUCAUUACUGUUUGAUAAAGCGGCCACAUUCAGCUCAGACAGAACUGCCAGCGCAAAUGUAAGUAACCUAUCACACACACACACACACACACACACACACACUGAGCUUUGAGGUGAGUGUUAAUCUCUGAGGUGUGUUAGGAAAGCACAGAAGGAAGGAGAUAUCAAAUAAAGCUCAUGUAAAAAUAUUCUAGAGAAAUGAUUUACUAAAAAGCAUCCUAGUAAAAUUUAGAUAAGUAAAAACUCCAUGUGCCAUUCCAGUUUUAGCCCAAUACGAUGGGUUUCAUGAGAAGGAUAACAUGAUAAAGACGUGUUUGAACAUAUAAUCUCUGAGGAAAGAUUCCUCUGGGUUAAAUUCAAAAGAAUCACUUUAUGCACAUCGUUUUUCUCAGCAAAAGCAGGAAUACAUCUCUCACAUAGCUCUCUCAUACCUUAAUACUGAGACAAAGAAACACAUACAAGCUGCUAAAAAUAAACUGGCAUGCAUAGUCAGAAUGUUGACAAUAAAACCAAAAAAACACCCCUCAGGAUGUUAACAAUCCCGACACUCGAAAAUAAAAGCAACCCUGUUAAUAAAACGCUUCGUUUCCAGACAAAAUGCUUAACAGCCGUCUCUCAGAGUCGGUUUCAACAUGUUUGAAAUCAAUCAGAAUAUUUAAACCCGUGGAAGCAGACAAUCUGUGUAGAGCUGCGCACCUCCUCAUUGGAGAGGAACUUCACUUUUGGCACAGUGUGUUUCAUUUUUCAUGAAGCUGCACCUCCUUGUUCCCUGCAGGCGUCUCCUCGGUGUUCUUGCUGAAUGUGUGUGUGCUGAACAAAAGCCUUGGUUGUUUACGUCAAGGUAUCUCCUUGCGGUUGGGUGAUGAAGAGCAGGUGGCCUCAUUUGCAGAGAGCACUUCCUCAGAAGCAGCACCUUCACUGCCUCCUCUUCCUCCACGUGGCUGUCGGGCAGGCGAGGGCGAUUGCGUUCCCCUCCCGCGCCGUGCCGCCUGUCCGCCUGUGGGACCUGCUCCGUGGGCUUUUCAUCAGCUGCCAUUUUCACCAGCAUGCAGGAACUCGCAGGACAAGGAUAAUAACCAUUCCUGUUAAUUGUGGUUUGGUGAAGAAACAAGGCCUGUCGCUCUGCAGUCUGAUCUACCCGGCUGUCCCAAUCCAGUCCAAACAGGGAGAAUGAACAGAGAAUCGGAUCGAGAAUCAGAGAAAACUGUGUACAAGACUCUUUGAAGGGAGUGGAUAGGACGAAAUGCUGUUGAGGGACUGACAUUGAGAAACAUUUCUGGAUGGCAUGAAGGUUGAUGUGGCUGGCCUCCAAAAUCAUCGUGCCUGAGACCACACAGAUGGGGAUGAGAUAAAACUUCUGGGCGGGGCUAGUGAGCCACCUGUGGCAGUGACAUCAGCACGGCAGAGAUCAGGGGCCCUGUGGUCUCCAUCCCCCACAUCCACCUCGUGUCCUUUUAUCUGUGAUCAUGUAUCACCUGCAGCUACACGUCCAGCUGGAGGAGACAGAUUUCAUCUGUCAUCUGUGAGUGGAUCUCAAUACCCAGAACUAAGUCUGUCCAGAAGUCCAUGUCCAGCGGCCGGCCUGCCAGAGCUAAUCUCACAGAUGAAGCGUCUCCUUUUCUGCUCAGUCAUGUACCUGUGCGGGAGGGGGAAAGAGACGAGGAGGCCUCACGAUCAAAUUAAUCUCCUAUUAGAACAUGCAUCUGGGGUUAAAGUGUUGCGCAGAGAAGAAAGACAUGGAGAAGAAACCACAACCAAACUUCAUCAGUUCUCGCAUAUAUCGCCAACAUGCCAGCUCAAGACAGCAAAACACAAACCGAAGACGAGCUUCAAAAUGGAGGGACUGAAAAGAGGAAAGGAUGAGUGCAGAGAAAACAAAGAAACGGAGGAAGAAGGGAAGAAAAAGGCAGAGAGAAGAAGCGGCGGCAUGAUCUCCAUGCCACUGAUUUCCCCUGCGAUGAGAACAGCAUCAUGUUAAUUAUUUCAACCAUCUGCUGCAGCCCGUGAUGGAGGCGCCCUCCACCUCACACAGAUUUGUACCUGUCAGUCAAAUUGCGGGACCAACACGAGGCGCUGUGGCGGCGAGAAUAAGAUCCAACGCAUGCCAAGGUCCUGAGGGAUUGAGCUGUGGUGUGAAAUUAAUCUGGAGUUCACAAUUUAGCUGGACUCUCUGAAUUUAUGCUCAAAGAAGCCUCAACAUCUGGCUAUUUUUGGAGUGUUUUGGCAUGAGAAGUGCCAAAAGCAGAACUUUAGGAAUUUCUGCAGCUCCUUUUGACUGAAUGAGAUGUCUCAUGAUAGACCUUUCUGUACAGUAUGUAUCAUGAAACAUCACAGAAUUCUUUGAAUUCUUUGUUAAAACCAAACCAUGUUUCUGCUGUUGUUUUCUCCCCCACCAAAAAUGAUGACACUUUUAUAAGAUCUUAUAAAUUUCAUUAACUUUCUGCUGUUUUUUUUU